Molecule: long non-coding RNA, 2173 nt
Filed under: Triticum aestivum (bread wheat)
Lineage: Eukaryota; Viridiplantae; Streptophyta; Magnoliopsida; Poales; Poaceae
Description: long non-coding RNA (TAES_LNC025515)
Source: RNAcentral
UCCUAUGCCAUGCUAAAAUGAUUUAUUUCAUAACUAAAUAACCGUAACUCGGAAUUUAAUAAACUUUAUAUGUAAAUGGGGUGGAAAAAUGCCUAGUUUAACAUGGUGCACUUUUCUUGCAUGUUUAAUAACUCUAAAAUUGUGUUUAGUACAGAUCGGUACCAAAUCUAUAAUAUGCUCAUGAGGAGUUCCCGGACUUGUUGUUUUGUUGCUCCGGCCUCAUUUAAACUUGCCUAGAUAGGUAGUUUUCAUUUGCUUCACCCCCUUGCCAUGUUAAUCAACAUUUAAUAUUGUUGGGUACAUAAACGAGAUCGAACUAAAUAACUUGAACGUGGUGUUUCGUCAAUAUGCAACGGGGUUGCAUGUUGAUCUCCACUUAAUUUGUAGGGUUGUUUGUGCAUUUUGCCAUGCCAUGCCUCAUUAAACCGGACAUGCAUCAUACUUGAUUGUGCAUCAUGCCAUGAUUAUGUGGUGGUUGUUUACUAUGUUGUUUGCUUUCUUUCCGGUGUUGCUUCUUCGGGUUGGUUCCCAUAACUUCGUGUUUGUGAGGACCCGUUCGUCUACGUCCGUUUGUCUUCUUCAUGGACUCGUUCUUCUUCCUUGCGGGAUCUCAGGCAAGAUGACCAUACCCUCGAAAUCACUUCUAUCUUUGCUUCCUAGAUGCUCGCUCUUUUGCUAUGCCUAUGCUGCGAUACCUACCACUUGCUUAUCAUGCCUCCCAUAUUGUUAAGCCAAGCCUCUAACCACCUUGUCCUAGCAAACCGUUGUUUGGCUAUGUUACCGCUUUGCUCAGCCCCUCUUAUAGCGUUGUUAGUUGUAGGUGAAGAUUGGAGUUUGUUCCAGGUUUGGAACAUGGAUAUUUUAUUGGGAUAUCACAAUAUCUCUUAUUUAAUUAAUGCAUCUAUAUACUUGGUAAAGGGUGGAAGGCUCGACCUUAUGCCUGGUGUUUUGUUCCACUCUUGCCACCCUAGUUUCCGUCAUAUCGGUGUUAUGUUCCCGGAUUUUGCGUUCCUUACGCGGUUGGGUUAUAAUGGGAACCCCUUAACAGUUCGCUUUGAAUAAAACUCCUCCAGCAAGGCCCAACCUUGGUUUUACCAUUCGCCACCUAGCCUUUUUCCCUUGGGAGUCGCGCAUCCCGAGGGUCAUCUUUAUUUUAACCCCCCGGGCCAGUGCUUGUGUAAGUGUUGGUCCAAACUAGAGCCCCUUGCAGCGCCACCUCGGGGAAACUCAAGGGCUGGUUUUAGUUGUACGGAUUGCUUAUCCGGUGUUGCCCUGAGAAUGAGAUAUGUGCAGCUCCUAUCGGGAUGUCGGCGCAUCGGGUGGUCUUGCUGGACUUGUUUUACCAUUGUCGAGGAUGUCUUGUAACCGGGAUUCCGAGCCUGAUCGGGUCUUCCCGCUAGAAGGAAUAUCCUUCGUUGACCGUGAGAGCUUGUGAUGGGCUAAGUUGGGACACCCCUGCAGGGUUUUGAACUUUUGAAAACUGUGCCCGCAGUUAUGGGCAGAUGGGAAUUUGUUAAUGUCCGGUUGUAGAGAACUUGAAACUUAACUUAAUUAAAAUGCACCAACCGCGUGUGUUACCAUGAUGGUCUCUUCUUGGCGGGGUCCGGGAAGUGAAAACGGUGUUGGAGUUAUGCUUGACGUAGGUUGCUCUAGGAUCACUUCUUGAUCAUCGAUUCUCGACCGUGCUUUUGCCUUCUCUUCUCGCUCUUAUUUGCAUAUGUUAGCCACCAAAUAUGCUAGUCGCAUGCUGCAGCUCCACUUCAUACCUUUUACCCUUCCUAUAAGCUUAAAUAGUCUUGAUCGCGAGGGUGUGAGAUUGCUGAGUCUCCGUGACUCACAGAUACUUCCAAAACCAGUGUGCAGGUGCCAAUGAUACCGUGUAGGUGAUGCAACCGAGCUCAAGGAGGAGCUCGAUGAAGAUCGUGUUCGUUAUGUUAUUUCCAUUUCCAGUUGAUCAGUAGUGGAGCCCAAUUGGGACGAUCGGGGAUCUGUGUAGCAUUUGGGGUAGUCUUCUUUUAUUUUGGUUCCGUAGUCGGACCUUGAGUGUAUUUGGAUGAUGUAAUGCUUUAUUCAUGUAAUUGUGUGAAGUGGCGAGUGUAAGCCAACUAUGUAUCUUUUCCCUUAUUGUAUUACAUGGGUUGUUUGCGAAGAUUACCUCACUUGCGACAUUGCU